AUUGAACGCUGGCGGCAGGCCUAACACAUGCAAGUCGAACGGUAACAGGAAGCUGCUUGCUGCUUCGCUGGCGGGUGGCGGACGGAAGGGUUAUGUCUGGGAAGCUGCCUGAUGGAUGGGGUUCACUACUGGGAACGGUUGCUACUACCGCAUAGUGUCGCAAGACCAAAGAGCGGGACCUUCCGGCCUCUCGCCUUCGGCUGUGUCCAGAUGGGAUUAGCUUGUUGGUGGGGUAACGGCUGACCAAGGCGACGAUCCGUAGCUGGUCUGAGAGGAUGACCAGCCACACUGGGACUGAGACACGGUCCAGACUCCUACGGGAGGCAGCAGUGGGGAAUAUUGCACAAUGGGCGCAAGCCUGAUGCAGCCAUGCCGCGUGUAUGAAGAAGGCCUUCGGGUUGUAAAGUACUUUCAGCUGGGAGGAAGGGAGGAAAGUUAAUACCUUUGCUCAUUGACGUUACCCGCAGAAUAAGCACCGGCUAACUCCGUG
This 490-nucleotide ribosomal RNA is filed under the name uncultured bacterium. Its description in RNAcentral is "partial 16S ribosomal RNA". It matches the Rfam family "Bacterial small subunit ribosomal RNA", at positions 30 to 507 of the family's 1533-position model. The record is from RNAcentral.